This 433-nucleotide ribosomal RNA is filed under the name uncultured bacterium. Its description in RNAcentral is "partial 16S ribosomal RNA". It matches the Rfam family "Bacterial small subunit ribosomal RNA", at positions 29 to 507 of the family's 1533-position model. The record is from RNAcentral.
AACGAACGCUGGCGGCAUGCCUAACACAUGCAAGUCGAACGAGACCUUCGGGCCUAGUGGCGCACGGGUGCGUAACGCGUGGGAACCUGCCCUUAGGUUCGGAAUAACUCCCCGUAAGGGGUGCUCAUACCGGAUAAUGUCAUCGGACCAAAGAUUUAUCGCCUUAGGAUGGGCCCGCGUUGGAUUCGCUAGUUGGUAGGGUAAAAGCCUACCAAGGCGACGAUCCAUAGCUGGUCUGAGAGGAUGAUCAGCCACACUGGGACUGAGACACGGCCCAGACUGCUACGGGAGGCAGCAGUAGGGAAUAUUGGAGGAUGGACGAUAGCCUGAUCCAGCAAUGCCGCGUGAGUGAUGAAGGCCGUAGGGUUGUAAAGCUCUUUUACACGGGAUGAUAAUGACAGUACCGGGAGAAUAAGCACCGGCUAACUACGUG